Molecule: transfer RNA, 75 nt
Filed under: Rhizobium sp. Leaf383
Lineage: Bacteria; Pseudomonadati; Pseudomonadota; Alphaproteobacteria; Hyphomicrobiales; Rhizobiaceae
Also listed under: 1 other name
Description: tRNA-Asn
Rfam family: tRNA
About the family: Transfer RNA (tRNA) molecules are approximately 80 nucleotides in length.
Source: RNAcentral
UGGAAUGUAGCUCAGCGGAAGAGCGGGCGACUGUUAAUCGCUAUGUCGAAGGUUCGAAUCCUUCCUUUCCAGCCA